Long non-coding RNA from Juglans regia (Persian walnut), 921 nucleotides. RefSeq lists it as uncharacterized. The transcript is spliced from 2 exons. NCBI's taxonomy places the organism in Eukaryota, Viridiplantae, Streptophyta, Magnoliopsida, Fagales, Juglandaceae. The record is from RefSeq and is a predicted model, not a curated record.
GUAGGCAUAAUCAUUUCUUAAUUAGCAACCCCGUAAUUAACUGUCCUCAUAAUCUAUGGAUAAACAAGAGAACCGCUAUAGGUUAUUUGAGGUGCCAAUGAGUUGGCAAGUAGUAAGUAGUAUUCAUGCGAGGGUACUUGUGAAUCGAGUAAAGCCUUACGUGAUUUUAGCAUUAGUGGAUAAUCAAUGGUGCGGAGCAAAAUAAGGUGAGAUAAAUGGAUAGGGUUGGAAUCAAGUAAAAGUACAACGAAUUAACGUUGGACUUCAUCACAUAGUAAUUAAGGCCUGGUAGCACCUCAGCCGAAUCCAGAAAGAACUCGGGCACGCAUGCUCUCGUCUCAACAACUCGGCCAUCUUUGUGGAAUUCAAGCUCGAAGGAGAGAGAAAAGCGGGAAGGUAUGUGAAGGCCAAUUGGGAUGCAACUGUAAAUAUUAAGGAAAUAAAUGCAAGUAUUGGAAUUAUUAUAAGAAACGCAGAUGGUGAUGUUUUGGCUUCUCUAUGUGAUAUUGUCAAUUAUUGUUCGAAGCCAGCCAUUGCAGAAGCUAUUGCAUUGAGGAGAGAGCCUUGAUAUUUUGCAUUGAGUUGGGAAUGAUGACACAAGUGUGUCUGGAGGGAGAUGCUGCCCAGGUUAUUAUCAUAGCUGUUACAAGUAAGGAAGAGAUAUGCACUGAAUAUGGUGUGUUGAUAGAACAUGCUAGGAGGAUGUUGCUUGAUAGGGAACAAUGGAGGGUGAACUUCGUCCAUAGAGAGGCUGAAAAAUUCAGUGGCUCACACACUUGCAAAGUUAGCUUGAGGGAAGAGAGGGUAUAGAUUGAGGAAUCUCCUAACCAAGUUCUCUAAUAAUACUUUGCAUAAUAACAUUGAUUUGGCAGACAUUAUUGGAGGUUAUAAUUUAAUAUUUAAAUUUCAAACUUCUGAUCA